GUGCUCGCUUCGGCAGCACAUAUACUAAGA
Molecule: small nuclear RNA, 30 nt
Filed under: Cervus elaphus hippelaphus
Lineage: Eukaryota; Metazoa; Chordata; Mammalia; Artiodactyla; Cervidae
Source: RNAcentral